RNAcentral lists this ribosomal RNA (472 nucleotides) under uncultured bacterium. RNAcentral describes it as "SSU rRNA". It matches the Rfam family "Bacterial small subunit ribosomal RNA", at positions 26 to 518 of the family's 1533-position model. The record is from RNAcentral.
AGGAUGAACGCUGGCGGCGUGCCUAACACAUGCAAGUCGAACGUCCUGUCUCGCAAGAGGCAGGGAGUGGCGGACGGGUGAGUACCACGUGGGUUAUCUACCGUGAGGUGAGGAAUACCGGCGAGAAAUCGCCGACAAGACCGCAUAGCCUCGGUGCAAGCCGAGGAAAGCUUUCUCGAGAGAGGGAGCGCCACACGAGGAGCCUGCGCCCGAUUAGCUAGCUGGUGGAGUAACGGUUCACCAGGGCGACGAUCGGUAGCUGGUCUGAGAGGACGAUCAGCCACACUGGGAUUGAGAACGGCCCAGACUCCUACGGGGGGCAGCAGUGAGGAAUUUUCGUCAAUGGGGGCAACCCUGAACGAGCAACGCCGCGUGCAGGAAGAAGGUUUUCGGAUCGUAAACUGCUUUUCUCGGGGAAGAGAACGGACGGUACCCGAGGAAUCAGCCCGGCUAACUACGCGCCAGCAGCCGC